RNAcentral lists this ribosomal RNA (377 nucleotides) under uncultured eukaryote. RNAcentral describes it as "partial 18S ribosomal RNA". It matches the Rfam family "Eukaryotic small subunit ribosomal RNA", at positions 592 to 976 of the family's 1831-position model. The record is from RNAcentral.
CAAUAGCGUAUAUUAAAGUUGUUGCAGUUAAAAAGCUCGUAGUUGGAUUUCGGGGCAGCCUGGCUGGUCCGCCGCAAGGCGAGUACUGGUCAGCCGCCCUUCCUCUCGAAAGCCCCGACUGCUCUUUAUUGCAGUGGUCGGGUAGUUCGGGACGUUUACUUUGAAAAAAUUAGAGUGUUCAAGGCAGGCCUACGCCUGAAUACAUUAGCAUGGAAUAAUGGAAGAGGACCUCGGUCCUAUUUUGUUGGUUUCCAGGACCGAAGUAAUGAUUAAGAGGGACAGUUGGGGGCGUUCGUAUUUAAUUGUCAGAGGUGAAAUUCUCGGAUUUAUGAAAGACGAACAACUGCGAAAGCAUUUGCCAAGGAUGUUUUCAUUAA